UCUCUCAAACUAAGAAUUUUUCUUUGGAUGCAGGAAUUAUGAAGUUACAAGGCAUCACUGGACCUACAGUGGCCUCGUCAUAACUCAGAUGAUUUCUACUCUUACUCAUCUCCUAAAAUUUCCUUUCGCUUUAUUGUGACUUACACAUUCUCAAUUUUACAGAUAGAAUAGCUUGGCAUAAUGGUGAAAACCAUGAGACGUUAUCCAGACCAAUAUAAGUUGAACAACUUCAUCAUUAACUUAUCUUUUGUUAUAUCAUUUACUUUGAUAAUUUUAUUUUGUUACUAACUCAUGACUGAGUUUUGCAGGUGUCAUUACCAGAAUUGAAGACAAUUUCAAAAGAUCUUCUGAAGUUUUGAAUGAUUAAAUC
RNAcentral lists this long non-coding RNA (370 nucleotides) under Solanum tuberosum (potato). RNAcentral's name for it is "long non-coding RNA (STUB_LNC005023)". The record is from RNAcentral. Lineage: Eukaryota; Viridiplantae; Streptophyta; Magnoliopsida; Solanales; Solanaceae.